UACGUAGGGGGCAAGCGUUGUCCGGAUUUACUGGGCGUAAAGAGCGUGUAGGCGGCCAAGCAGGUCCGUUGUGAAAACUGGAGGCUUAACCUCCAGACGUCGACGGAAACCGUGCGGCUAGAGUCCGGAAGAGGAGAGUGGAAUUCCUGGUGUAGCGGUGAAAUGCGCAGAUAUCAGGAGGAACACCGGUGGCGAAGGCGGCUUUCUGGACAGUAACUGACGCUGAGGCGCGAAAGCUAGGGGAGCAAACAGG
RNAcentral lists this ribosomal RNA (253 nucleotides) under uncultured bacterium. RNAcentral's name for it is "partial 16S ribosomal RNA". It matches the Rfam family "Bacterial small subunit ribosomal RNA", at positions 524 to 776 of the family's 1533-position model. The record is from RNAcentral.